Molecule: long non-coding RNA, 315 nt
Filed under: Mus spretus (western wild mouse)
Lineage: Eukaryota; Metazoa; Chordata; Mammalia; Rodentia; Muridae
Description: predicted gene 43236 (ENSMSPG00010047753.1)
Source: RNAcentral
CCGAGUCCAACCCUGAUGGUUCUAAUGAUUUUAUUGCUCAGUGGCAAAAUAAAUCAAAGCAACAAUAAUCCCAAAGUCACAUUUAAACAUGUCAGUGACUGCUAGGAAGCAGAGGGUAUGGAAUGAAAAUGGAGACUCUUCCCUACUUCCCAUUCCCAGCCUCACCUGCUUUGGGAAAAAAAAACCCACCCCAACUGAAAGGGCUGUCCGAUCCCAAUACAUAAGGGCUCCUUCCUUGUCCCCACUCCCGCUUCUCCUUGCUGCUGCUGGAUUCUGUGCCUUGGACCUUGCCCUGCCACUUCGGAGCCACUGAAA